AUGCAAGCGUUGUCCGGAUUUAUUGGGCGUAAAGAGUUCGUAGGCGGUUUGUUAAGUCUGAUGUUAAAGACCGGGGCUCAACCUCGGAAAUGCGUUGGAUACUGGCAGACUGGAGUGCAGUAGAGGCUAGUGGAAUUCCCAGUGUAGCGGUGAAAUGCGUAGAUAUUGGGAAGAACACCGGUGGCGUAGGCGACUAGCUGGGCUGUAACUGACGCUGAGGAACGAAAGCCAGGGGAGCAAAUGGGAUUAGAUACCCCAGUAGUCCUGGCCGUAAACGAUGGAUACUAGGCGUAGUGGGUAUCGACCCCUGCUGUGCCGCAGCUAACGCGAUAAGUAUCCCGCCUGAGUAGUACGGCCGCAAGGUUGAAACUCAAAGGAAUUGACGGGGGCCCGCACAAGCGGUGGAACAUGUGGUUUAAUUCGAAGCAACGCGAAGAACCUUACCAGGGCUUGACAUCUGUGGAAUCUUUCGGAAACGAGAGAGUGCUCGCAAGAGAGCCACAAGACAGGUGGUGCAUGGCUGUCGUCAACUCGUGUCGUGAGAUGUUGGGUUAAGUCCCGCAACGAGCGCAACCCCCGUUGUUAGUUGCCAUCA
Molecule: ribosomal RNA, 595 nt
Filed under: uncultured bacterium
Lineage: Bacteria
Description: bacterial SSU rRNA
Rfam family: Bacterial small subunit ribosomal RNA
Source: RNAcentral